AUAAAUUGGCCUCUCCGACUCCGUCCCAUUCCCGCCUUUGGGAACGUAAAAGGACUCACAUGACAUCACACGCUGGAUGCGACGAAUAAUCCUCCGUCCAGUUCUCAGUCGAUAGGCAAUGCUUUCGGCUUUCCUCGCCGUGGCGGUUCUCUUCCAAGUUCCGAUCCCGGAGCCUUGGUCCAAUCGCUCAAAUCCCCAGGGAACAGCUUCUUUGAAAGGUCAAAUACUUUGAUUGAGAUUGAGUUUUCAGAACUAGUGUUUUAUCGAGAACUAGAACAAUUUGAAUUUCUCGCACAAUUUGAUUUCCCUGCGGCGCCUCUGAUUUCGAUCGGUGGUAUCCAUCACGUAGCUGAAUGUUGAGCAUAGUUGUGGCUGAAACGCAUCAAUUAUGCACUUGGAUUUGUAUUCUCUCUGAGCUGGAGUUUCUGAUUUCCUACUCUUACCGUCGUUACUCUUGAGCAACUGUGUGCCCUCCUUCGUAAUCGAUUAACAAUCCUUCUUGGGAUGUGCAGAAGGAUGAUACUCUAGUAUUUUGUUUGUAAGCAAGUUGGCUUCUAUCACCUGCUAUAUUCACUGGGCCAUUAUUAUUUGAAAAACUUGACCAGUUCCUAUAGGUAUAACUCAAUGCUUGGACCGGUUUUCUUCCUUCUAAUGAGAAGCUAAUAUGCCGUCUGGGUUGAUUCUCUUUUUUUUUUUUGAUAGAAGACCUCUCUUCAUCUUGUAGUACUACUAACUGCUGGAACUGCAAUAACUGCUUAUUCCCAGGAGUGAACUUAGACUUUGAGCAUACCCUGCAUGUAGGAGAUAUCAUAUCAGUGAUAAUACUAAUAACAGCUUGAACUGCAAAAGCUGCUUAAGACUCGAGGAUCAAUGUUCAUGUAUCGAUAUGGAUGACAAAUGUUGUUUUAGCGAAUGCCAGGGCUUGGUCAUUUAUACUUAGCAAUCAUCUUUUCUUUUUUCCUUCCAGUUUCAUGCACCUCUUCUGUUGUUUUGAUCACCAUCCUCUUAAUGUGGAUGGUUGUCCUUGUAGUACUUUUUUUCUAAAGCUAUAUAUGAGUCCAAACCCACCUGUCAAUACAGAGAUGAAUCAACCGUACGUAUGUCGCCGCUCCUGCUGCUUGUACAUGCAAGUUGAGUUGUGCCCUCCAUGCACGGAUGCUCUUUUUUCUGGUAAAAAACGUCUCUGCUAAUGUACUGAUCUAGUAACAGUUCUGUUAAACCCGGAUACUAACUUAAUUAUGGGAUAGUUAAUCUGAAUAUUACCGAAAUAUAUUAUUAUAGGUGUAAAAACCCGAAUGGCACUUGCACCUAUUAAAGAUCCCUUGCUAAUUCAGAAUCUUUUAGACAAUAUAAUACGGAAACAGGCAACAUAAGAAACCUACUCUAAGCAUCUGAAGCUUAACUUAAAUAGCUAAAAGCACUACGUAUAUAAGAUUACUAUCUAACUGAAGUUCCUUCCUUGUUAUACAUGACAGAUAACAUGCAUUUACUGAGAACUAGUAUCCACAACUGUUGAAAUAUCUAAACAUUGCUGCUGAUUUGGGAACCUUGUCUGGCAGGUGUGUGAAACCUCCAUGUGAAGAGAUAAUCCUUGGAUUUGCAGGACAAUCUGAUGACAUCGCAAAAGGCAUUGACAGAACUCUUCUUCCCUUGGCUUCCCCAUUCAAUACUCACCCAGCAUGAAAACCCGUUUGAUGAAACGGGCACC
This 1708-nucleotide long non-coding RNA is filed under the name Linum usitatissimum (flax). RNAcentral describes it as "long non-coding RNA (LUSI_LNC008341)". Lineage: Eukaryota; Viridiplantae; Streptophyta; Magnoliopsida; Malpighiales; Linaceae. The record is from RNAcentral.